Molecule: ribosomal RNA, 488 nt
Filed under: Pseudomonas sp. CL2.71
Lineage: Bacteria; Pseudomonadati; Pseudomonadota; Gammaproteobacteria; Pseudomonadales; Pseudomonadaceae
Description: bacterial SSU rRNA
Rfam family: Bacterial small subunit ribosomal RNA
Source: RNAcentral
CCCUGGCUCAGAUUGAACGCUGGCGGCAGGCCUAACACAUGCAAGUCGAGCGGAUGAAGAGAGCUUGCUCUCUGAUUCAGCGGCGGACGGGUGAGUAAUGCCUAGGAAUCUGCCUGGUAGUGGGGGACAACGUUUCGAAAGGAACGCUAAUACCGCAUACGUCCUACGGGAGAAAGCAGGGGACCUUCGGGCCUUGCGCUAUCAGAUGAGCCUAGGUCGGAUUAGCUAGUUGGUGAGGUAAUGGCUCACCAAGGCGACGAUCCGUAACUGGUCUGAGAGGAUGAUCAGUCACACUGGAACUGAGACACGGUCCAGACUCCUACGGGAGGCAGCAGUGGGGAAUAUUGGACAAUGGGCGAAAGCCUGAUCCAGCCAUGCCGCGUGUGUGAAGAAGGUCUUCGGAUUGUAAAGCACUUUAAGUUGGGAGGAAGGGCAUUAACCUAAUACGUUAGUGUUUUGACGUUACCGACAGAAUAAGCACCGGCUAA